UCUUGACCUCAGAUCAGGCAAGGCUACCCGCUGGAUUUAA
RNAcentral lists this ribosomal RNA (40 nucleotides) under Porites lobata. RNAcentral describes it as "partial 28S ribosomal RNA". Lineage: Eukaryota; Metazoa; Cnidaria; Anthozoa; Scleractinia; Poritidae. The record is from RNAcentral.